RNA transcript from Microplitis demolitor, 3766 nucleotides. It is a transcript of the gene named golgin subfamily A member 2, with no coding region annotated. The record is from RefSeq and is a predicted model, not a curated record. NCBI's taxonomy places the organism in Eukaryota, Metazoa, Arthropoda, Insecta, Hymenoptera, Braconidae. The transcript is spliced from 7 exons.
UCAUAAGUUUCAUUCCAACAUGUUGAAUGUCUAAAAGGUAUAAAUAAGAAUAUGAGUUGUCAAAUUUUUUGCUAAAUGUUUCAAAACAAUAUUGAUUUUAUAAAUUAAUAAAUAAGUGUGUACAUCUUUGUAAUAACUUUAAUUAUUUAAUCAUUAUGAAUAAAAAUGAUAAAAUUUUAGCUGCUAGACGAAAGCUAAAAAAAUUCCAACAAAAUAAACAACAUCAAGAAGCUCCUCCUGGAUAUCAGAAUGAAGUAGAGAGCAAUGGGAAAUUACAGGGAACCGAGAUGAAUGAAAUAAAUAACAGCCAAUUAGUUAAAGAACAUGAUCACUUUACUGGUAAUAAUGAAGAAAAUUUUAAGUUUCUUGAAGUUAAUAAUUCAAAGGAAUUGGUCAUAAAUAAAUUUCUGGGAGUCGAUACAGUUGAACAGGAAUUUCCAGUUUUACCUGAUAUCAAAAAAGAAUUUGAAAUAUCAAAGAUGGAUAUUACUUGCAAAACAUUGUCUCCAGUCGAGCAUGAUAGUCAUAAUAACGAAUGUUCUUCUCCAUCACUUCGAAAUAGUCCUGACUUAUCCGUGAAUAACAUUAUUUUUGAAAAUGAUGUACUUCAAAAUUCUCUUUUAUUAACUAAUCAACAGAACCUUGAACAACAAAAUUCCUCUGAUAUUUUAACUGAUAACAAUUUUAUAACGAAGUCAUCUGAAAUUUAUUCUGAUUCUGUGAAUGGCAAUCAGUUAUUGCCAGAAGAUACUGAGAUUUUAACAAAACUUUAUUUUCAAGUGAAUCAGUCCCAAAAUACGAUAUCUGAGUUGGAAACUUCAAUAUUAAAAAAAGAUAUUGAAUCAAAUACGAAAUUUAUUGAAGAAAUAAAUUUCUUAAAAAAAAACCUUCAAGUUUAUCUGCAAACUACGAAUAUUCUUGUCACAGAAAAAGCAAACCUCAGUAAAUCACUUUCUAAUUAUCAGAGUUUAGUAGCAGAAAAAUCUCAGACAAUUAAAGACUUAACUCAAGAAUUGCAUGCAAGUCAGUGCCGUUGCAGCGAAUUUGAAAAAAAAUUACAUCAAACGAAUCAAGCUAUUUGUGAAAUAAAUAAAUCCUAUCAACUCUUACAAGUUAAUUAUGAAAAUUUGAAUUCUAGGUUCCUGGAAUUAGAAAAGUGCAAUGAAGAGCAAAAAUUAGAAACUGCUGAAUUACAGCAGGUUUUGAACUUAAAAAAUAUUGAUCUAACAAAUCUUCAUCAGGAAAUUCAAGAGAAAAAUAGAUUAUUGACAUUAGCAGAGUUAAAAAUUCAACAGUUAACUAAUGAAUCACAAGACACUCAUAUACUUGAAAAUCAAAAUGAAGUCCAUACAACAUUUGAAGAACAAUCAUCACAGUUACGUGAAAGCUUACAAACUUCUAAUGCAGAAAAAUUGGAAAUGUUUAAUCAUUAUGAGAAUUAUGUAAAACAAUUAGACAAAAAGUUUAAGAGCGUGACUGAAGAGUUACAAAAUGCGCAGAUAAUAAUUAAAAAUCUACAAGAACGGGAAGAAAAUUUAGUUCAGAGCUUAUCAGUCAUAGAGCAACAAUAUCAGCAAGAAAAACAGAAAGUCGAACUAUCUCUUUCGGAAAAAAAUGAUAAUCAGGUUGAAUAUUUAACUGAAAAAAUUAGUUCGUUAUUGCGUAAUAAUGAAAGCCUCCAAAAUGAUUUAAUUGAAAAAGAAAUGAAAAUAGAAGCUAUGGAAAAAGAGAUUGCAGAAUUACGUGAAUUGGACCAUCAAAGCAUUGAAACGUCAAAAUUAUUGUCAGCUUUAGAAAGUGAACAAUUAGGAGCGUCGAGAGCUAUUAGUCAAAAUCAACAGCUGAAAGAGCAAUUAAGUGAAAUGCAAGACGCAUAUGUUAUGGUUAGUAAUGAGAAAUUAAAUUUAACACAACAGUUACAAGAUGAACUUUCCGUCAAAAGUAAAUUGAAUGAUCAAUUGAACGAACUAAGAUCUGAGAGAAAUCAACUGAAAAGUGAGUUAAGUAAAAAAGAGACCAUAAUAAGCCAAAUGAUGAUGGAAAAAUCAUUUUUGGCGAAAACAGUCGACCAACAGGAUUUGCAAAAGCAAUCACAAGAGUCAUUUAUUUGUAAAACAGAAUGUCAAGAUAAUCUAGAUUCGAUCGAAAAGUCAGAAAUUCCAGAUCAAAAAUCAAUAGGAGAAUCAACUUUUGUCGAUAAAAAUUCUGGAACUACUGAUGACGAGAGUUUAGAUACUCGAAAUCAGAAACUUACUGAAGAGAGUCAACCGUCGAUUGCCGAAGCGAUAGCAGAAAAGUUGAGUAAACCUGAAAAAACACAAACUCAUAGAUUAGAUCUGAUGACUGAACCGAUAACAAAAUUGGAAGCACGAUUUAAGGAUAUGAUCGAAAAAGUAGCAGAGCUAACAGAGGAAAAACAACGUUUGGAACAUUUAGUAUUGCAACUUCAAGGAGAAACAGAAACAAUAGGAGAGUAUAUAACUCUAUAUCAUAAACAACGAGCCGUUCUUCACAGUAAAGCAGAAGAAAACGAGAAAACAUUUCACCACUUAAUUGAAAAGUACAAUCAGCAACAUGCACAGCUCCAUCAAUUAAAAGUUCUUUUUGCUGAUUUGCUGAAAGAAAGUGGAGGUUCUUUACUUCCUCGUCAAGAAGAUACUCAAUCUUCAAACAUACCCGACUUUCCCACGACAGAAGUGAAAUAUCAACAAUUAGACGGAUCGACACCUAAUGAAAUAUCUCAAACAACUGUAAAAAUUAUUGACUUAAUUAGACGUAUUAAAGACUGUAAGGAUCCAUGUACUGUGGAGCAAAACUUUCAUCCUUGUCUGUGGUGCUCAGGGAAACUGAUCACUAUAUAAUUAUCAAGUCUCAACCUAUCUGAUUCCGAUGACGCUUUACGAAUCUAUCGCUUAAGCCGCGUGGCCUAGAAGCAGAUUAUCUUCCAAUUUUAUUUUAUCCCAUAUUACCUACUGUGCGGUUGUGAACCGACUUGUGCUACUGUACUACAUCGCGCUUUAUGUCUAACCUGACGGUGGUCGACCUAGCAGUGACAUGGGAAAGCCACAGAGAAAAUUCAUGCCAAUACAAUCGACGAUAGACAAAGUCCUAAUCACUGGGCCUUUAAUCCCCGCCCAACGACAGUCAUCCAUCAAAGUCCCCGAGCUGCUCUAAACUUUGAUUUGGCUUGAAUACUCAAAGCAUCUAAAGGCUCGGAAAGUAGAAAAUUCACCAGGGACUGAACAAGUGGAUAAUAUAGCUUAUUAAAAACUGAAUGGUAAAGUGAAGGAAACUCUUUUUAAGGUAUAGAGGAGAAGUUGUGUCUCACCACUGAUCUUGACGCACCCAGAUCAUGGUUGCAGGGAGGCUGAUACCACGGGGUACCUUUCUAAGCCCACUUCGACCAGAGUUUCUGUAUUUCCUGAGAUAGCAGUAGUGUUUUGCCCAAGAGAGGUAUGGACUCGUGGUGGCUGUGGUUAGAUACAUCGUGCAUUGAGGAUUAUUGAUUAUACCUUUGGUUCAUGUCCAGCCUUGGUCGUCACUCGAUUAUAUUUUUCGACUAGGAGUGUUGUUUGGGACAGAGGUAGGGAUACCUCGUACCGCCUCGUGUAUGCCCAAAAAGGCGCGGAACUGGCCUCUCAUAAAACGGAGGUGGACUUUGGUCCCGUUGCAUUAAUUAAUUCACCCACCCAAGCGAUUACUUAAUAUCGGUGAUUGUCAAAGCCGUCCACGCGGCUACCACUGUCGCUAAUGAAAAAUUUCGAGU